Molecule: long non-coding RNA, 2501 nt
Organism: Bubalus bubalis (water buffalo)
Lineage: Eukaryota; Metazoa; Chordata; Mammalia; Artiodactyla; Bovidae
Exons: 4
Source: RefSeq, a predicted model, not a curated record
UUUUCUUACUAGGAAGGAUGAAUGUUCAAAUUUGAGGAAUCCCAAAUGGAACAGAAGUAUCCUAUUCCAGAGAGGACACCAUUUAUGAUCCCUUAAACCUAUGGAUCAAAGGAUUUUCUUUCACCUUGAAAAACUGCACAUGGAGGAGAGCUCCUUUGCCUGGUUCCUGCAGUCGGAACAUAUCCUACUGGGUAGAGUUAACAGAGAAAAUCUGGUUUCAUAAAGACUGAAUAACUUUGCAAGUUCACAAGCCUAAACUGGCACCGGAAAUUAUACCAAAAUUCAAUGGCAAGUUCAUUCUCUAGGUCUGUGAGUCUGCUUCUGUUUUAUAAGAUCAGUGCCCUGUUGUUCUGUAUCCUUUGCGUUUGCAUAAGCAGAGAGCCUCUGACAUUGUUCCGUGGAAGGCAUUUCCAGCAGAGCGUGUGAAGGCGUUUGCUCCAGCUGUUCUCGGCUCCUCCCAGCUAUGCUGCCUUCUCCCUCAACCCCGGGGGGUGUUACCGGGCGCAGCUGACUCAGCUAUGAUUGCGCAGAUGAAACCUCCCAUGGAUGGGCUUUGGUCAGACUACACUGGAAAAUUUGUGAUGGAAAGAUGGUUUGUCUUUCAUCUUUGACAAAGUGAAAGUCCCACCUGGCUGCAUCCAAGUAAAGGGAAAAGCAAAGGUGAAACUUGUGUCUCUGUAGUCCUCUGUCUGCAGCGUUCAACUCAGCAUGUACACUGAGUCCCUGCGUUACCCGUCACUGCUUAAUCCAGCACCCGGUGAUGCUCUGCCACCUGUGUUCUGGAGAUUUUCCCUUCUCUCCUCGUCUCAGAUUUCCUUCCACAAUAGUCAUCCUCCUGGUCUGUCAAUGGUAUCUUUUUCUUCUGUUCUUAUUGCCCUUACUCUUCCAGUCUACUGUCAAGAAUAUGAAUAACAACAAGCAUCCUGAAUUGCUCUGAUUCUUUUCUUUAGUUACCAUUCUUUCUUUUUCCAUUUGAUAGAAAACUCUUGGAAUGUAUGGUAAUCUUAACUUUUCUCCUAUUAUCUUCCAAAAAAUACAACUUAAAAUUUGCUAAAAGAACUCUAGUAAGAUAUUUUAUUGAAUUUAAAACCAUCAGUUGAACUAUAUUUACAACUUAAUAAUUAACUGAAUGAUGUAAAUUAGCUUAUUGAUUUCAUUGUUUUAAAGCUCAUACUUCAAGUAUUUAAAAAAGCCUUUAUUUACAGUUAACAGUAUAAUAUUUUAUCCCUGAAGAAUCAAAGAUAUUCUCUUCAAUUAGUAGGGACCAUUUUUCUAUAUUGCAAACAUUUAGCUAAUUUACAAAUCACUGCCCUUUUCCACUCAGGGUUUAAUAAAUUGAUUUUAAUAAUAAAUGUAUUCAAGCAUAAUCGGAAAAUAUAGUUAAUAAUAUUAGUAAUUUGAAAAUUAAAUAUGUGAGUAGCUGGUUGGUUUUGUUCUGAAUUACUUUAGGUAUACAGAUGCACAGGUACAGUCUUCUGUUGCCUGUUUCUACCCAUAGAAAAUUUAAUAAUAGUUUGACUAAUGCGAUGGGGAAAAUUAUUCUAUUUAUAGCUACUGAAAAUUUUGAAAAACCUUGCACAUUUUGUUCCUAAAGUAGAAAUUAACAUUUUAAGGAUACAGCGUUGUCAGAGUUCAGCAAAGCACUUGGUUAUUUUUUAGCCUCAAGAAGUGGGAAAAUUGUAGUUAUUUAAAUGUCACUGCUUUGCAAAGAAAGACUUCAGUCUCUUGUUUCUUUGUCUCUUUAUCCUUCAUUUGCAAGUGCUUGCAUAAUAUAUCCAGUAAGUGUAUUUUUUGAAGUAUAACUAUUUUUUAACAGAUGCAAUCUUUACUUUUAUUGCUUCAUAUUUACAUUAGAGAUUAAUAUAUUUUCUUGAAUGCUUGGCAGAUUAACAUUUCUUUGUUUAUCUUUAUGAUUUUUUUAAGCACUAGAGAAGUCUGUCAUUGACAAAACUGAGCUAAUGUCAAUGACUCUAUUUUUUAAGAGUUCUUCUGUGACACUGAAAUUUUGGAAAAUCAUGUACACAUAUAAAUUAGAUGAUAAGGGUAGAAACUGAAGCUUCAAUUGCAAGAGUUUCUCAGUGUAUUAUUUUUCUUAAGCUUACUAGAUGAGAACAUUGAAGCUGUCGUUAUAUGUUUAUAAAAUAGUUUAUUGCUGUUUGUGAAACCUUGCCAUUUUUAUUCUGAUUCUUUAAUUCUUUUAAUAAAAUAAUCAAUCUAAUUAAAUCAUUGAAGGUUAAAAUCAAAUUCCAUUUCAAUAUUAUUUACCUAGGAUUCCUAAGAGCUUCUAAGUGUUUAAUUAACUCAGUUGUAGAAGGGUUAACAGUCAGAAAUAUAUCCAGGUCAUCUAAGUCAUACAAUUGUCAGAUGGUUGCUAGGCAACAGAUAUCAGGUUUGGCUGAUGCGUGUUCUAGGCAAAGAUUAUAGUGUGAAAAGAACAAAUUACAUGAUACCUGCAUUUUUAUUGUUAUGCUUUUUGAAAAUAAAGUUGUAUUGGAGGAAGA